AGGGUACACAGGGGCCUCUUCCAAGUAUUCUCAGGUCCGUACCCAGACACGGGUAGUGGCCUCACCCCACACACUGGUCCCUGGCCUUAGUCACUGCACCAUGCCUGGUGCAUCCUAAACCAGAGGGCCAGCGUGUAACAGGUGAUGGCUGCGGCCAGAGAGGACACAGGUCAGGGUCCUGACCCCUUAACCCAGAGGGUCUUGCUGAAGCCACCUUUUCAUAUCUUUCUCUUGAAUUCUGUUUUAAAUCGGAAUAAAUUUUGUUCCUAAA
RNAcentral lists this long non-coding RNA (271 nucleotides) under Rattus norvegicus (Norway rat). RNAcentral describes it as "long non-coding RNA NONRATT025500". Lineage: Eukaryota; Metazoa; Chordata; Mammalia; Rodentia; Muridae. The record is from RNAcentral.